This 67-nucleotide transfer RNA is filed under the name Bipes canaliculatus. RNAcentral's name for it is "tRNA-Gly". The record is from RNAcentral. Lineage: Eukaryota; Metazoa; Chordata; Lepidosauria; Squamata; Bipedidae.
ACUUUUCUAGUAUAAUACAGUAUAAGUGACUUCCACUCACUAGGCCUUAAUAAAUUAAGGAAAAGUA